This 108-nucleotide small nuclear RNA is filed under the name Procavia capensis (Cape rock hyrax). Lineage: Eukaryota; Metazoa; Chordata; Mammalia; Hyracoidea; Procaviidae. The record is from RNAcentral.
GUGCUUGCUUCAGCAGCACAUAUACUAAGAUUGGAACGAUAACAGAGAAGAUUAGCAUGGGCCCUGCACAAGGAUGACAUGCAAAUUCGUGAAGCGCUCCGUAUUUUU